ACUCACUCAAUUGGGAUCAUCACUUCAUUAGUUCUGAAAGGAGGCAAGUCCAAGGUGGGUUAUACCUUGCCAACACGAAGUCCCCGUUCACCUUAGCCCCAUCUCUCUCUAAGCUCUUUUUCAACUUCUCCACCUUCUCCUCCACCACCUUGUCUGUAGCCACACCUCCAAAUUUCACCACCCCAUACUUCUUCUCCCUCUCUUCCCGUAUCACCACCCUCUCAUCUGUUGGCUUCGGUGCCUCCUCUGCCUUCUUAUACUUGGCGGGCAACAAAAACUGCAUAGUAACCAUCUUCUCCCCUCCAGCACCCUCCUUUGUCACUACAGGAGCUGUCAUGGCAAUCUUUUCACCACCACUUUUGGUUAUAACUGGAGCUGUCAUGGCUAUCUUUUCAGGCUUGGUGUUUUGUGGAUUGCCUACGGCUCCUAUGUAAUUAGCUAGCACCAUGAAUCCGCCAUCUUUGUCGCCUUUGAAUAGGGAUGGAUCAUACGUGAAUUCUGCAAGAACUAACGGUGCAUAUUUGCGUUCACUGGUGGACUGAAUCACUUCAUACUCUGGGGUUUCCACGGUGAUCCUUCCAAGAACCAUUCCCAUUUUGUAGAAUUAAGUUUCAAGUGCGUGCUAAACAAG
Molecule: unclassified non-coding RNA, 631 nt
Filed under: Hevea brasiliensis (rubber tree)
Lineage: Eukaryota; Viridiplantae; Streptophyta; Magnoliopsida; Malpighiales; Euphorbiaceae
Source: RNAcentral